This 253-nucleotide ribosomal RNA is filed under the name uncultured bacterium. Its description in RNAcentral is "partial 16S ribosomal RNA". It matches the Rfam family "Bacterial small subunit ribosomal RNA", at positions 524 to 776 of the family's 1533-position model. The record is from RNAcentral.
UACGUAGGGGGCAAGCGUUGUCCGGAUUCAUUGGGCGUAAAGAGCGUGUAGGCGGCCAGGUAGGUCGGUUGUGAAAACUGGAGGCUCAACCUUCAGAGGUCGACCGAAACCAUCUGGCUAGAGUCCGGGAGAGGAGAGUGGAAUUCCUGGUGUAGCGGUGAAAUGCGCAGAUAUCAGGAAGAACACCCGUGGCGAAAGCGGCUCUCUGGGCCAUUACUGGCGCUGAGGAGCGAAAGCGUGGGGAGCGAACAGG